This 617-nucleotide ribosomal RNA is filed under the name Ganoderma sp. Vijaya-ahmedabad-01. Its description in RNAcentral is "eukaryotic LSU rRNA". The stretch from base 232 to 385 matches the Rfam family "5.8S ribosomal RNA". The record is from RNAcentral. Lineage: Eukaryota; Fungi; Basidiomycota; Agaricomycetes; Polyporales; Polyporaceae.
UCUGUAGGUGAACCUGCGGAAGGAUCAUUAUCGAGUUUUGACUGGGUUGUAGCUGGCCUUCCGAGGCAUGUGCACGCCCUGCUCAUCCACUCUACACCUGUGCACUUACUGUGGGCUUCAGAUCGUAAAACGGGUCCCUUUACCGGGCUUGCGGAGCGUGUCUGUGCCUGCGUUUAUCACAAACUCUAUAAAGUAUCAGAAUGUGUAUUGCGAUGUAACGCAUCUAUAUACAACUUUCAGCAACGGAUCUCUUGGCUCUCGCAUCGAUGAAGAACGCAGCGAAAUGCGAUAAGUAAUGUGAAUUGCAGAAUUCAGUGAAUCAUCGAAUCUUUGAACGCACCUUGCGCUCCUUGGUAUUCCGAGGAGCAUGCCUGUUUGAGUGUCAUGAAAUCUUCAACCUGCAAGCUUUUGUGGUUUGUAGGCUUGGACUUGGAGGCUUGUCGGCCGUUGUCGGUCGGCUCCUCUUAAAUGCAUUAGCUUGGUUCCUUGCGGAUCGGCUCUCAGUGUGAUAAUGUCUACGCUGCGACCGUGAAGCGUUUGGCGAGCUUCUAACCGUCUCAGUUGGAGACAACUUUAUGACCUCUGACCUCAAAUCAGGUAGACACCCGCUCCCUUGC